UACGGAGGAUCCAAGCGUUAUCCGGAAUCAUUGGGUUUAAAGGGUCCGUAGGUGGAUGAUUAAGUCAGGGGUGAAAGUCUGCAGCUCAACUGUAGAAUUGCCUUUGAUACUGGUUAUCUUGAAUUAUUGUGAAGUGGUUAGAAUAUGUAGUGUAGCGGUGAAAUGCAUAGAUAUUACAUAGAAUACCGAUUGCGAAGGCAGGUCACUAACUAUUAACUGACGCUGAUGGACGAAAGCGUGGGUAGCGAACAGG
RNAcentral lists this ribosomal RNA (253 nucleotides) under uncultured bacterium. Its description in RNAcentral is "partial 16S ribosomal RNA". It matches the Rfam family "Bacterial small subunit ribosomal RNA", at positions 524 to 776 of the family's 1533-position model. The record is from RNAcentral.